GUGGGGAAUUUUGGACAAUGGGCGCAAGCCUGAUCCAGCAAUGCCGCGUGCAGGAAGAAGGCCUUCGGGUUGUAAACUGCUUUUGUACGGAACGAAACGGUCCUGGCUAAUACCCGGGGCUAAUGACGGUACCGUAAGAAUAAGCACCGGCUAACUACGUGCCAGCAGCCGCGGUAAUACGUAGGGUGCGAGCGUUAAUCGGAAUUACUGGGCGUAAAGCGUGCGCAGGCGGUGCUGUAAGACAGGCGUGAAAUCCCCGGGCUCAACCUGGGAAUUGCGCUUGUGACUGCAGUGCUGGAGUGCGGCAGAGGGGGAUGGAAUUCCGCGUGUAGCAGUGAAAUGCGUAGAUAUGCGGAGGAACACCGAUGGCGAAGGCAAUCCCCUGGGCCUGCACUGACGCUCAUGCACGAAAGCGUGGGGAGCAAACAGGAUUAGAAACCCUGGUAGUCC
This 450-nucleotide ribosomal RNA is filed under the name uncultured bacterium. RNAcentral describes it as "partial 16S ribosomal RNA". It matches the Rfam family "Bacterial small subunit ribosomal RNA", at positions 354 to 796 of the family's 1533-position model. The record is from RNAcentral.